Molecule: ribosomal RNA, 464 nt
Filed under: uncultured bacterium
Lineage: Bacteria
Description: partial 16S ribosomal RNA
Rfam family: Bacterial small subunit ribosomal RNA
Source: RNAcentral
CUACGGGGGGCAGCAGUGGGGAAUAUUGCACAAUGGGCGCAAGCCUGAUGCAGCCAUGCCGCGUGUAUGAAGAAGGCCUUCGGGUUGUAAAGUACGUUCAGCGGGGAGGAAGGGAGUAAAGUUAAUACCUUUGCUCAUUGACGUUACCCGCAGAAGAAGCACCGGCUAACUCCGUGCCAGCAGCCGCGGUAAUACGGAGGGUGCAAGCGUUAAUCGGAAUUACUGGGCGUAAAGCGCACGCAGGCGGUUUGUUAAGUCAGAUGUGAAAUCCCCGGGCUCAACCUGGGAACUGCAUCUGAUACUGGCAAGCUUGAGUCUCGUAGAGGGGGGUAGAAUUCCAGGUGUAGCGGUGACAUGCGUAGAGAUCUGGAGGAAUACCGGUGGCGAAGGCGGCCCCCUGGACGAAGACUGACGCUCAGGUGCGAAAGCGUGGGGAGCAAACAGGAUUAGAUACCCCUGUAGUC